GAAAUGCGAUAAGUAAUGUGAAUUGCAGAAUUCAGUGAAUCAUCGAAUCUUUGAACGCACAUUGCGCCCCCUGGUAUUCCGGGGGGCAUGCCUGUUCGAGCGUCAUUUCACCACUCAAGCCUCGCUUGGUAUUGGGCGACGCGGUCCGCCGCGCGCCUCAAAUCGACCGGCUGGGUCUUUCGUCCCCUCAGCGUUGUGGAAACUAUUCGCUAAAGGGUGCCACGGGAGGCCACGCCGUAAAACAACCCCAUUUCUAAGGUUGACCUCGGAUCAGGUAGGGAUACCCGCUGAACUUAAGC
This 299-nucleotide unclassified non-coding RNA is filed under the name plant metagenome. RNAcentral describes it as "partial contains 5.8S ribosomal RNA, internal transcribed spacer 2, and large subunit ribosomal RNA". The stretch from base 1 to 105 matches the Rfam family "5.8S ribosomal RNA", at positions 50 to 154 of the family's 154-position model. The record is from RNAcentral.